AGCAGCCGCCACGGGAACACGAAGGGUGCAAGCGUUAAUCGGAAUUACUGGGCGUAAAGCGUGCGUAGGCGGUUUGUUAAGUCUGUUGUGAAAUCCCCGGGCUCAACCUGGGAAUGGCAAUGGAUACUGGCAAGCUAGAGUGUGUCAGAGGAUGGCGGAAUUCCUGGUGUAGCGGUGAAAUGCGUAGAGAUCGGGAGGAACACCAACGGCGAAAGCACUCUGCUGGGCCGACACUGACACUGAGAGACGAAAGCUAGGGGAGCAAAUGGGAUUAGAUACCCCGGUAGUCCCUGUCUCUUAUAC
Molecule: ribosomal RNA, 303 nt
Filed under: uncultured bacterium
Lineage: Bacteria
Description: partial 16S ribosomal RNA
Rfam family: Bacterial small subunit ribosomal RNA
Source: RNAcentral